AAUCGAAUAGGUCACUGGGAGGUGGGAGCCAGCUGAAGGGAGCAUGCUACAAAAUAUCUUGGCAUCCCCAGCCCUGCCAUGGAUCUCCGAGAUCAGACUCCCUAGGAGGGAGGGGAGCUUAUCCUGCUACCCAGUAACUGUGAUGGCCGCCAAGGUUAAAGACUACCGCAUUCAAGGACGCAGGCACAGAAGCGUGCGUCUCUUUUUAUAACUACUGCCAGAAGGUACUGAGCUAUUGCUGGGAGGAGAACGGAGAUCUUUACAAGGCCUCAAGUGGAGGGAUUGGGACACCAACCCAGUCACAAAACCUUCUACCUGCAUACUGUCCUGUCUAAAGAGUGUGCUGGGACCGGAGUCUAGCACAGUCAUCAUCAAAGAGACCAGAGAGACCUCAUCCAGCUACUGAUGGGAGCAGAUGACAAGGACCACAGCCAAAGAAGUCAAGUUCAAACAGCCUCCCUCUACAGCCAGUGCCUCAGAAGAUCUUCCUGUCUCGAAGUCCAAACCACCAGAGAUCCUUCCCCACAGCUUCAGACUGGAAAUCCCUCCCACCAGAAUGGGCCCAGGGCUGCACCCCUUGCCCUUUCUCACCAUCUUCUUCCACUUCAUCCUUCGGUUCUGAUACCAAGUCUUCACUUGCAGCUGCGUGAGCCCCAGAGACUGGGCCAAGUCCAACCUGGAAGGCAUGAGACACAAAGGAAGGGUGAGGAAAAUGCAGUGAGGGACAGCGGUGGGGACAUGCUGGCUGGCGCCUGGCACUUGCUACCAAAUCUCAGACUGCCACCAUUAACCCUGGCCAUGGCCGAGAGGAAGGGUGUCUCCCUUCUCAGAACGCUGUGUAGGGCUGGAAAACAGGAAAAGAGGGGCCACACGUAAGACCACGGGCAGAGUCCCCAUCCCAGAAUCAUUCUCUCUCUGAAAUGAACCUCAACAUCCAAGCCUUUGAUCUUCACCCCUAUAUCUAUAAAAUGUAGGCUCAAGAUCCCAAAAGCUAGAAACAGGAAGUAAAGCUGUACUUCUAUGGGAAUUCCACUCAUCUCUCCAGAUUCACCUCCGGUGUUGGUGAGCUCCCAUAACUCCUUUGACUCAGCAGUCACCCCAAUGGACCAUGCUGUCCAUGCUACUUGUGCCUCCCCAGCUCAAGACCAAGCCUUGAGCUUGUGUUCACAAAACUGCCUACUACGUCACUAGAUCCCAAAGCAGGACUCAGAAAUAUUUUUGCACAUGCAUGUGUAUAUAGUUAGGUGCAUGCAUGUUUGUGUGUGGUGUGUGUAGAAACCCAAGGUUGACGUCAAGCAUUACAUCCUACUAUAUUUAUUGGCACAGGGUAUCUUGGUGAACCCAGAGUUCCCCCAUUGCCCUGGACAGCCCCUAUUUGUGCCUGCUAAAGGCGCAAGGGUUACAGGCAGCGGCCAUACCUACCCAAUUUUUACGAAGGUUCUGGGCAUCUGAACUUCAGGCCUCGUACUCGUGAAGCAAGUGACUCGUGUGCUAAAACAUCCCCUUCAGCCCCAGGAAUGUUCCUAAAUUAUUACAAUGGUUGGAAUGUACAACCCAAUGAAGCCAUAAAUCCAUAGUCCCUCCUGCUUUCUAGGCCCACUGUAUUUCUACUUUGAAACCUUCUGGAAAGUCCUAAGGUUGAAGCCAUUUGUACAGUGAGAAGUCAUUCGAGCACACAGCAACCAUCUCCAGAGCAUGCCAGCACCCCAAACACACACUUUAAGCCACUGCCCAGUGCUAUCUUUUCACCACACCGAGCUUGGUAGGUAUAAUUAUUCCCAUUUUACAGAUAGAAGAUUUAACGCUUAGCGAGAGAGUAGAAUUUCACGAUGACAUGGCCAAGCUAUUCCUGACACUUGAUUUUUUUUCCUGUUCAAUAAAGUCUAUUGGAACGCA
Long non-coding RNA from Rattus norvegicus (Norway rat), 1896 nucleotides. RefSeq lists it as uncharacterized. Lineage: Eukaryota; Metazoa; Chordata; Mammalia; Rodentia; Muridae. The transcript is spliced from 3 exons. The record is from RefSeq and is a predicted model, not a curated record.